This 433-nucleotide ribosomal RNA is filed under the name uncultured bacterium. Its description in RNAcentral is "partial 16S ribosomal RNA". It matches the Rfam family "Bacterial small subunit ribosomal RNA", at positions 29 to 507 of the family's 1533-position model. The record is from RNAcentral.
AACGAACGCUGGCGGCAUGCCUAACACAUGCAAGUCGAACGAUGCCUCCCGGCCUAGGGGCGCACGGGUGAGUAACGCGUUAGAACCUGGCCUAAGUUUCCGAAUAACUCCCCGAAAUGGGUGCUAAUACCGGUAAUUGUCUUCGGACCCAAGUUGUAUCGCCUUUGGAUGGGCCCGCGUUGGAUUGGUUAGUUGGUAGGGUAAAAGCCUACCAAGGCGACGAUCCAUGGCUGGUCGGAGAGCAGGACCAGCCAGACUGGAACUGAGACACGGCCCAGACUCCGACGGAGGGGAGGAGUAGGGUAUGUUGGACGCGGGGGGCAAGCGUGAUGACGCCGUGUCGCGUGAGUCGGGAAGGCCUUAGGAUUGUAAAGCCCUCUUGCACGAGAUGAUAGUGACAGUACCGGCAGAAUAAGCUCCGGCUAACUACGUG